CGAGCGGCAGCACGGGUACUUGUACCUGGUGGCGAGCGGCGGACGGGUGAGUAAUGCCUAGGAAUCUGCCUGGUAGUGGGGGAUAACGCUCGGAAACGGACGCUAAUACCGCAUACGUCCUACGGGAGAAAGCAGGGGACCUUCGGGCCUUGCGCUAUCAGAUGAGCCUAGGUCGGAUUAGCUAGUUGGUGAGGUAAUGGCUCACCAAGGCGACGAUCCGUAACUGGUCUGAGAGGAUGAUCAGUCACACUGGAACUGAGACACGGUCCAGACUCCUACGGGAGGCAGCAGUGGGGAAUAUUGGACAAUGGGCGAAAGCCUGAUCCAGCCAUGCCGCGUGUGUGAAGAAGGUCUUCGGAUUGUAAAGCACUUUAAGUUGGGAGGAAGGGCAGUUACCUAAUACGUGAUUGUUUUGACGUUACCGACAGAAUAAGCACCGGCUAACUCUGUGCCAGCAGCCGCGGUAAUACAGAGGGUGCAAGCGUUAAUCGGAAUUACU
This 499-nucleotide ribosomal RNA is filed under the name Pseudomonas sp. RNAcentral's name for it is "bacterial SSU rRNA". It matches the Rfam family "Bacterial small subunit ribosomal RNA", at positions 63 to 555 of the family's 1533-position model. The record is from RNAcentral. Lineage: Bacteria; Pseudomonadati; Pseudomonadota; Gammaproteobacteria; Pseudomonadales; Pseudomonadaceae.